UGCGGUAUUCCUGACUGAAUCAAGAUACGCUGGGGAAGAGGCAUCUGAAGAUAGCCCGGGUUCUGACCUCGGCCCUGCUGCCUAACUGCCUGGUGACUUCAGCGCAAGGCCUCGCUGAAGCGAACCCAUCGUGGGAAGGGCGCGGAGAAAGCGGGGAGAAAGAGCAGGGGGACGUCGGGCCUGCGCCUGGCACCGCCGCUACCUGGAUUCGCGGGCCCCUCACACACUCACCUGCCGGUAUUCUAAUCACAGAAUUACUGGAGCAUCAAGAAGUGCCUGCAUGCUUGGAAGGGCUUCCAGGCAGAUGAACACACCUCAGCACCGGGUGGCAUUUUCCCAGGGUGCAACCCGGACCGGCUCUGGGUCACACUGACAAGGACAACAGGGUUAACAAUUUCCAGAGACAGCCCGUACAUAGAAGGAAUGUUUACUGAAAAAAAUGAAGAGGGGUCAGGGCAAGGCGAGGAGCAAGAAGCACCCCCAAGGAAACAGAGAAGACCAGUACAA
RNAcentral lists this long non-coding RNA (507 nucleotides) under Homo sapiens (human). Its description in RNAcentral is "HSALNT0291214". The record is from RNAcentral. Lineage: Eukaryota; Metazoa; Chordata; Mammalia; Primates; Hominidae.